CCUACGGGUGGCAGCAGUGGGGAAUAUUGGACAAUGGGGGGAACCCUGAUCCAGCGACGCCGCGUGAAGGAUGACGGCCCUACGGGUUGUAAACUUCUUUUGUCAGGGAGCAAUUGGGUCCACGCGUGGGCUUAGCGAGAGUACCGGAAGAAAAAGCAUCGGCUAACUCCGUGCCAGCAGCCGCGGUAAUACGGAGGAUGCGAGCGUUAUCCGGAUUUAUUGGGUUUAAAGGGUGCGUAGGCGGAGUAUCAAGUCAGCGGUAAAAAUUCGGGGCUCAACCCCGUCGUGCCGUUGAAACUGGUGUUCUUGAGUGGGCGAGAAGUAUGCGGGAUGCGUGGUGUAGCGGUGAAAUGCAUAGAUAACACGCAGAACUCCGAUUGCGAAGGCAGGAGACCGGCGCCCAACUGACGCUGAAGCACGAAAGCGGGGGUAUCGAACAGGAUUAGAUACCCGUGUAGUC
Molecule: ribosomal RNA, 460 nt
Filed under: uncultured bacterium
Lineage: Bacteria
Description: partial 16S ribosomal RNA
Rfam family: Bacterial small subunit ribosomal RNA
Source: RNAcentral